AUGACCACGGCUCCUCUCCAAGCUCUCUCCUCUGCCCUCGUCCUCUUGCUCCUCGCGCAGCACGCGCGCACGGCGAGGGCGAGCGCGCUAGAGGACACGUGCAGGCUCGUCGGCACCGGCGGGACGCAGGACUACGACUUCUGCGUGAAGACGCUGGGGGCGGACCCGGCGAGCGCGACGGCCGACGAGCUCGGCCUGGCCGUCAUCGCGUUGAGGAUGGCCAGGGCGACCGCCAAGGCCACCGGCGACCGCAUCGCCACGCUGCGGGCCGCCGAGACGUCGCCCCGGCGGCGGCUGGCCCUGGACGAGUGCGCCAAGGAUUACACCUGGACCGUGCGCCGGCUGGGGCGCGCCGCCAAGGACUUUGCCACGGGCGGGGACGAGGACAGGCUGACGGAGUCGGAGGCGACCACCUUGCUGGGGACGUUCGUGACACGCCGGCGCGCUGCGACAAGGCGUUCGUCCUCUAGGCCGGCGAGAGGUCGCCGCUGA
Molecule: ribosomal RNA, 492 nt
Filed under: Triticum aestivum (bread wheat)
Lineage: Eukaryota; Viridiplantae; Streptophyta; Magnoliopsida; Poales; Poaceae
Description: partial small subunit ribosomal RNA
Source: RNAcentral